AGUGAACGCUGGCGGUAGGCCUAACACAUGCAAGUCGAACGGCAGCACAGUAAGAUCUUGCUCUUACGGGUGGCGAGUGGCGGACGGGUGAGGAAUACAUCGGAAUCUACUUUUUCGUGGGGGAUAACGUAGGGAAACUUACGCUAAUACCGCAUACGACCUACGGGUGAAAGCAGGGGAUCUUCGGACCUUGCGCGAUUGAAUGAGCCGAUGUCGGAUUAGCUAGUUGGCGGGGUAAAGGCCCACCAAGGCGACGAUCCGUAGCUGGUCUGAGAGGAUGAUCAGCCACACUGGAACUGAGCCAGGGUCCAGACUCCUACGGGAGGCAGCAGUGGGGAAUAUUGGACAAUGGGCGCAAGCCUGAUCCAGCCAUACCGCGUGGGUGAAGAAGGCCUUCGGGUUGUAAAGCCCUUUUGUUGGGAAAGAAAAGCAGCAGGUUGAUACCCCGCUGUUCUGACGGUACCCAAAGAAUAAGCACCGGCUAACUUCGUG
This 492-nucleotide ribosomal RNA is filed under the name uncultured bacterium. RNAcentral describes it as "partial 16S ribosomal RNA". It matches the Rfam family "Bacterial small subunit ribosomal RNA", at positions 29 to 507 of the family's 1533-position model. The record is from RNAcentral.